This 60-nucleotide transfer RNA is filed under the name Trichostrongylus vitrinus. RNAcentral's name for it is "tRNA-Ser". Lineage: Eukaryota; Metazoa; Nematoda; Chromadorea; Rhabditida; Trichostrongylidae. The record is from RNAcentral.
AAAUUAUUUAAUAAUUUGUUUUGAAAACAAGUUAAAAGAUUUUGUUAUCUUGUAAUUUUG